UGAAUACUCGAGACAAAUCUCCAAAAUCCAAAGGGACUACGUCUGAUCUCACAACACACCACAAGCAUGAAGCUCCGUCCCUGCUUCCACCAAAUUUCCAACUUCCCAACUUCAAGUGUCGCCGAUCAGCUCCAAAUCCUCAGUUUUCUGUGAUAAAAUCCUCCCACUAAGUUUCAAAGUGCGCCCAAGUUUCGUUUGCCUCAAAGUUGUUUAUGUUUCCUCGCUAAUUCGAAGUGCAAAAUUUAACCCUUUCAAUUUUCAAUUCUCUCUUUUCAAUGGCGGUUUUAAUCUCAAUUUUCAAAAUCCCCGCCAAUUCCCUUUGCUGUGCCGUUGUUUGUCUCAUCUCAUGAUUUCAAAAUUAAGUUCCAUGUUCUAAAAUCAUUGAUAGCAACGGAUUUGCUAUCAAUCAUAAGUUUUUGAAGUUCUAGUGCUCACCGGAUUUGGAAUAAACCUCCUGCCAUCGUGGAACAUUCAUGGUCGGGCUCCGAGUCCUGAGUAUCAACCUGCCGCAACUCCAUUGUCGGAAGAGGAAAAGGCACGGUGAGGGUGUGAAAGGCUUUCGCUGGAAAACGCAGAGCCACCUCAAACAAUGCAAUUGAGCUCACCCGUGAUAGACAUGGGCAAAAUGAUUUAGAAGCUAUUUUGGCCUGGCGUGCUUUGAGAUUGAUAUAUCGAUUGGUCUGCCAUUUAAGGCGUAGAUACACCUGCGAGUUACAAGCGCUUGUUGAAAGUGAAACGCCAAUCGGUAAGGAGGACUUCGAUAGUUCGACGUCGAGUGAUCGAAAUGCUGGUUUGCUAUUGGUGUUUCACUUUCAACGAGCGCUUGUAACUCACAUGUGUAUCUGCCGCUUUAAACCCAUGGACAUGACAAAUUUAACAAUGUCUUUUGGCAGAGAUCCUUCCAUUGAUAUGAUACUUCAUGCAUGGCAUUUGAGCCGAAAAACGAAGAGUUGGGAUGAAAGUCAAGGAAGAGCAGUUUUCCGGCAGGAGCAAAUUCUGUAAACUCUACAGCGCAGAGG
Molecule: long non-coding RNA, 1019 nt
Filed under: Bemisia tabaci
Lineage: Eukaryota; Metazoa; Arthropoda; Insecta; Hemiptera; Aleyrodidae
Description: lncRNA ENSSSA3NGG001777
Source: RNAcentral